This 497-nucleotide ribosomal RNA is filed under the name uncultured bacterium. RNAcentral's name for it is "partial 16S ribosomal RNA". It matches the Rfam family "Bacterial small subunit ribosomal RNA", at positions 28 to 507 of the family's 1533-position model. The record is from RNAcentral.
GAUGAACGCUGGCGGCGUGCCUAAUACAUGCAAGUCGAGCGAACGGACGAUAAGCUUUCUUCUCUGAUGUUAGCGGCGGACGGGUGAGUAACGCGUGGAUAACCUACCUAUAAUACGGGGAUAACUUCGUGAAACCGGAUCUAAUACCGCAUGAUAUUUUGAACCGCAUGGUUCAAGAGUUAAAGACGCUCUUGCUGUCACUUAUAGAUGGAUCCGCGCUGCAUUAGCUAGUUGGUAAGGUAACGGCUUACCAAGGCAACGAUGCAUAGCCGACCUGAGAGGGUGAUCGGCCACACUGGAACUGAGACACGGUCCAGACUCCUACGGGAGGCAGCAGUAGGGAAUAUUCCGCAAUGGGCGAAAGCCUGACGGAGCAACGCCGCGUGAGUGAUGAAGGUCUUCGGAUCGUAAAGCUCUGUUAUUAGGGAAGAACAUAUGUGUAAGUAAAUGUGCACAUCUUGACGGUACCUAAUCAGAAAGCCACGGCUAACUACGUG